CGGGAAGACGCGCUGCGUCUCCCUGCUGUCCCCGGAGCUUGGGGGCAGGCAGCGGGGAGAAGCGCUCUUCUCCCCGCCGCCCGCCUUCACAUCAGGUCCGGGGACAGCGGGAAGACGCGCUGCGUCUCCCAGCUGUCCCCGGAGCUUGGGGCAGGCAGCGGGAGAGCGCUCUUCUCCCCGCCGCCCGCCUUCACAUCAAGUCUGGGGACAGCGGGAAGACGCGCUGCGUCUCCCAGCUGUCCCCGGAGCUUGGGGGCAGGCAGCGGGGAGAGGCGCUCUUCUCCCCGCCGCCCGCUUCACAUCAGGUCCGGGGACAGCGGGAAGACGCGCUGCGUCUCCCAGCUGUCCCCGGAGCUUGGGGGCAGGCAGCGGGAGAGCGCUCUUCUCCCCGCCGCCCGCCUUGAUAUCAAGUCCGGGGACAGCGGGAAGACGCGCUGCGUCUCCCAGCUGUCCCCGGAGCUGGGGGCAGGCAGCGGGGAGCGCUCUUCUCCCUGCCGCCCGCCUUGAGAUCAGGUCCGGGGACAGCGGGAGACGCGCUGCGCCUCCCAGCUGUCCCCGGGCUUGGGGGCAGGCAGCGGGGAGAAGCGCUCUUCUCCCUGCCGCCCGCCUUGAUAUCAAGUCCGGGGACAGCGGGAACAAGCGCUGCGUCUCCCAGCUGUCCCCGGAGCUUGGGGGCAGGCAGCGGGGAGAAGCGCUCUUCUCCCUGCCGCCCGCCUUGAGAUCAGGUCCGGGAACAGCAGGAAGACGCGCUGCGUCUCCCAGCUGUCCCCGGAGCUUGCGGGGCCGGCGGCGGGGUCUCCCCGCCGUCAGCCUCCAAACCACUUCGGGAGACAGCGGGAUGGCGGCGUUCCGCCUCCCUCUGUCCCCCGACCUUGUGGGGCUGGCGCUGGGGCUCUCCAGGCUUCAGUGAAAGCCUGCAUUCGCACCAUAGGACGCACACACAUUUCCCCUUCAUUUUUGGAGGGGAAAAAGUGCGUCCUAUAGUGCGAAAAAUACGGUACCUCAA
Podarcis lilfordi (Lilford's wall lizard) is the source of this 1006-nucleotide non-coding RNA. NCBI's taxonomy places the organism in Eukaryota, Metazoa, Chordata, Lepidosauria, Squamata, Lacertidae. The record is from the annotation of a GenBank genome assembly.